GCGCUGGAUAAAAGUUAGGUGUUCCUCUCGUCAUUUCAGUCGCGUGCGAAUUUUUAUUGCAAUGGUGAAGCAUACGAAUACUGAUUAAUCCUGCAUAAACCAAAGAUUGGUUUACUUAGAACAGCUUCCUUAAUUAUUGUGAAGUUGUGACGCCUUGUUGCUGUCAGUUAUGCUGCAACAGCGUUUCCAGUAAGGCACCUAAAUGUUUAUAUUUAACAGCUAUGUUUUUGGUCUUGUAUAUGUUUAUGCUGCCGAGUCUUUAAUACAUACCAACAUGGUUUAGUUUGCUUUAUUGUGCUUUUUAAUUCACGCUAACAAUACAUUUUCAUGGGCUAUUAAAGCUUGUUUUCAAAGCUUAGUUCAGUUCAUGUAACAUUCCUUUAAUCGACUAGGAUUUUAAUGCUUUCCUAUAAUCGAGGAAAGGAAAGCAAAAAAAGCCAAACGAUUGUGAAACAAGUCAUACUUCCAGACACCAACUAACAUGCCAUCUAAAGGCAAUGGCGCAUUGAAGAUUUAUCACAAACAUAUCACAUUUAUUAUUAAAUAUCAAUUAAUGAUGGAUCUGUGAUAUAAGUCUUCAAGAGAUGAAAGACAAAAGCGCCAAGACUAUGAAUGCUCUAGAAGUUUUUCAAUUUACUCUGAAGAUGACCAGAUGACACACGGCCGAAAUAUCAGUGGAAGAAGUUUUAUUUGCGUGGCUGCAUGCCCAAAAU
Schistocerca piceifrons (Central American locust) is the source of this 713-nucleotide long non-coding RNA. RefSeq lists it as uncharacterized. NCBI's taxonomy places the organism in Eukaryota, Metazoa, Arthropoda, Insecta, Orthoptera, Acrididae. The record is from RefSeq and is a predicted model, not a curated record. The transcript is spliced from 3 exons.